Molecule: long non-coding RNA, 1939 nt
Organism: Spinacia oleracea (spinach)
Lineage: Eukaryota; Viridiplantae; Streptophyta; Magnoliopsida; Caryophyllales; Amaranthaceae
Exons: 2
Source: RefSeq, a predicted model, not a curated record
CCUCACUACAACAUUUACGUAAACAAUUAGUCUUCUACCAGACACUACGUCUUGCACUUGAUUAACUGUCAAACCAUGAACAGUACCAUUCUGUCUGAAACUGACAAGUCAUGUGAUCUGACAGUUAAUAACGUACUAAUAUAUAACAAAUUCAAACAAAAAAAACAUUCAUUGUAAUAAAUAUUUCAUAGACUUGUUGUUGUGGCUUGGGUGUGAUAAUAUUCAAUGUGUCUCACUUUAGGCCACAUCCAUCUGUAAUAUCAUAUGGACUUUAAUCAUAUAAAUAUUAAUUACUUAUUACUAUUAAUAAUAAUUAUUAUUAAUAAUAGUUAUAUUAUGACUUACAUUUUCCUAGAAACCUCUCUCUAGCUGGCCCCUCUAUAAAUACACCAAUAUUUCUUCACCAUUAUCCUUCAAUUCUCCCUCUCAAAUUCUCUCUUUCUCAUAUUUUUUUUUCUCUUAUUUUCUUCCAUUGAUUUGGGAAAUUAUACACUACAUUGACGUGCACCACUAGUUGAUGAAGCUGCCAGCAUGAUCUCAACUUGCUUUAUUGAUCAACCAAUCAUUUCAUCAUUGAUCAUCAUCAUCAUCUCAUCAAGAUUAGAUCAUGCUGGUAGCUUCAUCUUUUGAUGGGAUCACGAUAACUACAACAUAUAACAAGAGUCAUUAAAUCAUCAUUAUCACAUAAUUAUUGAAGUACGGUCAGAACUUACUCAACAAAAUAUCAAGCCACCCCGGCCGACGGCCGAUUUAAACGGUUGCAUUAUUUUGUUUGCAUAUAUGAACGGACUUUGAUCGAGCUUUGGUUGUUUGAAGAUGGAAUCUCGGGUAUCUUUGCAAGAGGGUUUUUUUUUUUUUUUUGGUCAACAUCUUGGCUAGAGAAUAAAAGAAACAGAAAAAAGUGCAAAAAGAAAAGUGGAAAAGGGUAAUACUCCUUUAAGCUUUUUAUGUAUACAAAUAAUUUAAUUAUUACAAUAUAAUAUAAUAUUAUUUAUAUUAUAUUAUAUUAGUUUUAAUUUUAAUAAAAAAUCGAAACCCUUUUAUUAAGGAUAAUGCUUGUUUAUUGUUUCAUGGAGAAUCAUGCAAAUGUCGCCUAGUGAGAGACGGAUCAUGUCUCAGAUUAGAAUGGUUAAUUAAUGUUUAGGGACAAGAUUAGAUUACUAACUAUAAUGUCACGACAAUACCAUCUUCUGUUAAUGUAGUACGUUCAAUUAACUAAUCAUGAUUAAUUCAUUAAACACUAGACAUUAUUGCUUACGUUGUUUUAUAACGUUUGUUGUUCAUUUGUCAAGUAGCUUUAGCCAUGCAAGUAGAAGGUUCACCAUUAUUUAAGAAUUUGUUUAAAGCCUUUAAAUGUCACUUAUUUCUUCAAUACACAUUGGUUGUUUAAUGCUUAACUAGCUCUUGAGCCCUUUUAAAGAACGGACAGUACGUUAUACUACGCAUAUAUUAUGGGUUCUUAGUCGUAUUUUAGAGUUCUGAUUGAGUGUUUGUGAUUGUAGUUGUAAUAUAUGAUUUAAAUAGAGUGGAAUUUGAAGGUUUAAAGAAUAUAUUGCGCGUUAAAGGGGGGAGAUGGAGUGGCAAAGACUUAUGUUUAUACUGGCUACUGCUGAAUUCACGUUGAAUCUGGAAGAUGAAUUGGAAGCGGCGUUGGAGUUUGUUGUAAAAUACAAAGUAGUAACAAACAACAAAAAGAAAAUUGAAAAAACAAAAAACAAAUUGGUGGAUGAAAGAAGAGAUCGUUGACACAUGACAUCUAAACAUUAAUAGUUUCGAUUUUUAAUUACUAGUUAUAAACUAGAUAUAGAUGUUCCAAAAUACACACGAUAUUACGUGGGUUUAUUAGUCGUCAAUAUUGUAGCAUUCUUAUUUUAGAAUACAAAAAUAAAGGCAAAAACUUUGUAAUUAAGUUACACGAAAAUAUCGAUCACUUGUUUGA